RNAcentral lists this transfer RNA (60 nucleotides) under Mus musculus (house mouse). It matches the Rfam family "tRNA", at positions 7 to 64 of the family's 71-position model. From Rfam's summary of the family: Transfer RNA (tRNA) molecules are approximately 80 nucleotides in length. The record is from Rfam by way of RNAcentral. RNAcentral also lists the same sequence under 1 other name. Lineage: Eukaryota; Metazoa; Chordata; Mammalia; Rodentia; Muridae.
GUAGCUCAGUUGGUAGAGUGCUUGUCUAGAAUGCAUGAAUUCCUGGGUUCCAUCCCCAGC